This 381-nucleotide ribosomal RNA is filed under the name uncultured bacterium. RNAcentral describes it as "bacterial SSU rRNA". It matches the Rfam family "Bacterial small subunit ribosomal RNA", at positions 524 to 903 of the family's 1533-position model. The record is from RNAcentral.
UACGAAGGGGGCUAGCGUUGCUCGGAAUGACUGGGCGUAAAGGGCGCGUAGGCGGCCUGGACAGUCGGAUGUGAAAUUCCUGGGCUCAACCUGGGGGCUGCAUCCGAGACGUUUGGGCUGGAGUGAGGAAGAGGGUCGUGGAAUUCCCAGUGUAGAGGUGAAAUUCGUAGAUAUUGGGAAGAACACCGGUGGCGAAGGCGGCGACCUGGUCCUUUACUGACGCUGAGGCGCGAAAGCGUGGGGGAGCAAACAGGAUUAGAUACCCUGGUAGUCCACGCCGUAAACGAUGUGUGCUGGAUGUUGGGCGGCCCAGCCGUUCAGUGUCGAAGCCAACGCGGUAAGCACACCGCCUGGGGAGUACGGCCGCAAGGUUGAAACUCA